RNAcentral lists this long non-coding RNA (622 nucleotides) under Homo sapiens (human). RNAcentral describes it as "HSALNT0311494". Lineage: Eukaryota; Metazoa; Chordata; Mammalia; Primates; Hominidae. The record is from RNAcentral.
AUUUUAUCUGAACCCGAUUACUCAGCUGGGACAUCACUCUCAUGUAGAAACUGCUAACUCACCAGGGAUGCAGGAGGCUGGAUGCAGGACUCCCCAGCUCAUGGACCAAGCAGAGACUAACAUUGGCAGGGAUCCAAAAAAAGUCUUUGCAGCACAGGACUAUCCAUUGUGAACGGCAACCACAGUCAGCAAGGCUCUGUUCCUUUAACGUGAAGACAUUUUCCUUGUGGCGCUUGGUAUUGCACAUUUGAUCUGUGUUCCAUGCACAGCUUAGGCACUGAAAAGUAACCAGCUAACUUAGAGAUUUCACCAACAGGUCCAGAACCAUCUCCAGCUUCAGCUUGCCUUGAUUUAGCCUGCAGGGUCUGUGCUCAGUCACCGAGCCAACCUUCGAAGUUGCGGAACGGGAAAUAAGGGUCAUGGAGUCUGAAUGCAUAUUGUAUACUGGAUUUUUCUUUGGCUUGCUAAUGUAUUCAGAUCAGAAAUGAAUAAUGAUUCUGUGCAGCAAGGUUACCAGUCCUUUCAAUCUUUUUGAGCAUUAUUUUUGUUCUUCACCUCUGAAGACAGCACAGAGAGGAUGGGUUCAGAGGAAAUAAAUGUUCCCUAUACUCCUGGGUGUGCU